Molecule: ribosomal RNA, 393 nt
Filed under: uncultured bacterium
Lineage: Bacteria
Description: partial 16S ribosomal RNA
Rfam family: Bacterial small subunit ribosomal RNA
Source: RNAcentral
UGGGGAAUAUUGCACAAUGGGCGCAAGCCUGAUGCAGCCAUGCCGCGUGUGUGAAGAAGGCCUUCGGGUUGUAAAGCACUUUCAGCGAGGAGGAAGGGUUCAGUGUUAAUAGCACUGUUCAUUGACGUUACUCGCAGAAGAAGCACCGGCUAACUCCGUGCCAGCAGCCGCGGUAAUACGGAGGGUGCAAGCGUUAAUCGGAAUUACUGGGCGUAAAGCGCACGCAGGCGGUUUGUUAAGUCAGAUGUGAAAUCCCCGCGCUUAACGUGGGAACUGCAUUUGAAACUGGCAAGCUAGAGUCUUGUAGAGGGGGGUAGAAUUCCAGGUGUAGCGGUGAAAUGCGUAGAGAUCUGGAGGAAUACCGGUGGCGAAGGCGGCCCCCUGGACAAAAGA